RNAcentral lists this ribosomal RNA (549 nucleotides) under uncultured bacterium. RNAcentral's name for it is "bacterial SSU rRNA". It matches the Rfam family "Bacterial small subunit ribosomal RNA", at positions 355 to 896 of the family's 1533-position model. The record is from RNAcentral.
UAGGGAAUCUUCGGCAAUGGGGGCAACCCUGACCGAGCAACGCCGCGUGAGUGAAGAAGGUUUUCGGAUCGUAAAGCUCUGUUGUAAGUCAAGAACGAGUGUGAGAGUGGAAAGUUCACACUGUGACGGUAGCUUACCAGAAAGGGACGGCUAACUACGUGCCAGCAGCCGCGGUAAUACGUAGGUCCCGAGCGUUGUCCGGAUUUAUUGGGCGUAAAGCGAGCGCAGGCGGUUUGAUAAGUCUGAAGUUAAAGGCUGUGGCUCAACCAUAGUUCGCUUUGGAAACUGUCAAACUUGAGUGCAGAAGGGGAGAGUGGAAUUCCAUGUGUAGCGGUGAAAUGCGUAGAUAUAUGGAGGAACACCGGUGGCGAAAGCGGCUCUCUGGUCUGUAACUGACGCUGAGGCUCGAAAGCGUGGGGAGCGAACAGGAUUAGAUACCCUGGUAGUCCACGCCGUAACGAUGAGUGCUAGGUGUUGGAUCCUUUCCGGGAUUCAGUGCCGCAGCUAACGCAUUAAGCACUCCGCCUGGGGAGUACGACCGCAAGGUUG